UACGUAGGGUGCGAGCGUUGUCCGGAAUUACUGGGCGUAAAGAGCUCGUAGGUGGUUUGUCGCGUUGUUCGUGAAAACCUGAGGCUUAACCUUGGGCGUGCGGGCGAUACGGGCAGACUGGAGUACUGCAGGGGAGACUGGAAUUCCUGGUGUAGCGGUGGAAUGCGCAGAUAUCAGGAGGAACACCGAUGGCGAAGGCAGCUCACUGGGACGGUACUGACGCUGAGACGCGAAAGCGUGGGGAGCAAACAGG
This 253-nucleotide ribosomal RNA is filed under the name uncultured bacterium. RNAcentral's name for it is "partial 16S ribosomal RNA". It matches the Rfam family "Bacterial small subunit ribosomal RNA", at positions 524 to 776 of the family's 1533-position model. The record is from RNAcentral.